RNAcentral lists this ribosomal RNA (497 nucleotides) under uncultured bacterium. Its description in RNAcentral is "partial 16S ribosomal RNA". It matches the Rfam family "Bacterial small subunit ribosomal RNA", at positions 28 to 507 of the family's 1533-position model. The record is from RNAcentral.
GACGAACGCUGGCGGCGUGCCUAAUACAUGCAAGUAGAACGCUGAAGCUUGGUGCUUGCACCGAGCGGAUGAGUUGCGAACGGGUGAGUAACGCGUAGGUAACCUGCCUGGUAGCGGGGGAUAACUAUUGGAAACGAUAGCUAAUACCGCAUAAGAGUAGAUGUUGCAUGACAUUUGCUUAAAAGGUGCAAUUGCAUCACUACCAGAUGGACCUGCGUUGUAUUAGCUAGUUGGUGAGGUAACGGCUCACCAAGGCAACGAUACAUAGCCGACCUGAGAGGGUGAUCGGCCACACUGGGACUUAGACACGGCCCAGACUCCUACGGGAGGCAGCCGUAGGGAAUCUUCGGCAAUGGACGGAAGUCUGACCGAGCAACGCCGCGUGAGUGAAGAAGGUUUUCGGAUCGUAAAGCUCUGUUGUAAGAGAAGAACGAGUGUGAGAGUGGAAAGUUCACACUGUGACGGUAUCUUACCAGAAAGGGACGGCUAACUACGUG